AUGAACGCUGGCGGCGUGCCUAAUACCUGCAAGUCGAGCGAACAGACGAGGAGCUUGCUCCUCUGACGUUAGCGGCGGACGGGUGAGUAACACGUGGAUAACCUACCUAUAAGACUGGGAUAACUUCGGGAAACCGGAGCUAAUACCGGAUAAUAUAUUGAACCGCGUGGUUCAAUAGUGAAAGACGGUUUUGCUGUCACUUAUAGAUGGAUCCGCGCCGCAUUAGCUAGUUGGUAAGGUAACGGCUUACCAAGGCAACGAUGCGUAGCCGACCUGAGAGGGUGAUCGGCCACACUGGAACUGAGACACGGUCCAGACUCCUACGGGAGGCAGCAGUAGGGAAUCUUCCGCAAUGGGCGAAAGCCUGACGGAGCAACGCCGCGUGAGUGAUGAAGGUCUUCGGAUCGUAAAACUCUGUUAUUAGGGAAGAACAAAUGUGUAAGUAACUAUGCACGUCUUGACGGUACCUAAUCAGAAAGCCACGGCUAACUACGUG
Molecule: ribosomal RNA, 496 nt
Filed under: uncultured bacterium
Lineage: Bacteria
Description: partial 16S ribosomal RNA
Rfam family: Bacterial small subunit ribosomal RNA
Source: RNAcentral